Molecule: long non-coding RNA, 522 nt
Organism: Eubalaena glacialis (North Atlantic right whale)
Lineage: Eukaryota; Metazoa; Chordata; Mammalia; Artiodactyla; Balaenidae
Exons: 3
Source: RefSeq, a predicted model, not a curated record
ACCCGAAGCCCGAGGCCCGGGCGGGGGUGGGGCCGGGUCCCCUGCUCACCGGUGCGGGGCCUGCUGCCGUCGCCGGCCUUGUUGAGGGCGCUGCUGGAGCAGCCCAUCGCGGGCAGGAGGGCGCCCGGCGGGCGAGCGCGCCCCCUGUCCCAGCUCCGCGCGGGCUUGGGUCCUUGAGUCCGGAUCCCGCGCGAACCGCUGCCUCAGCACCAGUUCCUCCGACUCCGCGCGGCCGGCUCCCGCGGCUGCAGAGCGCAAGCCUGGAAAGGAAAGCGAGCCGCUCGCUGGGGGAAGGAGCCAGGGUGGGGACAGCAAGGACGCAGAAGAGGACAGAGACAAGGAAGGAGCCAGCACAAGCCGGAUGAAGCCUUGGCCAUCCAGCAGUCGGUUCACAAAUCCCUUGAGGAAGCAUUUUAUAAUCAGGUGAACAGUAAUAAUCAGGUGCCCCAUGGAUGUUAGGACAUCUUUCUCACGAGCCACCCCAAUGCUUGCUCAAUGGGCUCAAGUAUAAAAUGACAAGGA